UGGGGAAUAUUGGACAAUGGGCGCAAGCCUGAUCCAGCAAUGCCGCGUGAGUGAUGAAGGCCUUAGGGUUGUAAAGCUCUUUCACCGGGGAAGACGAUGACGGUACCCGGAGAAGAAGCCCCGGCUAACUUCGUGCCAGCAGCCGCGGUAAUACGAAGGGGGCUAGCGUUGUUCGGAAUUACUGGGCGUAAAGCGCGCGUAGGCGGUCCGCCAAGUCGGGGGUGAAAGCCCGGGGCUCAACCCCGGAACGGCCUCCGAGACUGGCGGACUGGAGUGCGGAAGAGGGUCGUGGAAUUCCCAGUGUAGAGGUGAAAUUCGUAGAUAUUGGGAAGAACACCGGUGGCGAAGGCGGCGACCUGGUCCGUAACUGACGCUGAGGCGCGACAGCGUGGGGAGCAAA
RNAcentral lists this ribosomal RNA (400 nucleotides) under uncultured bacterium. Its description in RNAcentral is "bacterial SSU rRNA". It matches the Rfam family "Bacterial small subunit ribosomal RNA", at positions 355 to 772 of the family's 1533-position model. The record is from RNAcentral.